This 468-nucleotide ribosomal RNA is filed under the name uncultured bacterium. RNAcentral's name for it is "partial 16S ribosomal RNA". It matches the Rfam family "Bacterial small subunit ribosomal RNA", at positions 28 to 507 of the family's 1533-position model. The record is from RNAcentral.
GACGAACGCUGGCGGCGUGCUUAACACAUGCAAGUCGAACGGAAAGGCCCUGCUUUUUUGGGGUUCUCGAGUGGCGAACGGGUGAGUAACACGUGAAUAACCUGCCCUUGACUUUGGUAUAACUUCAGGAAACUGGGGCUAAUACCGUAUAGGAGCUCCUGCUGCAUUGUGGGGGUUGGAAAGUUUCGGCGGUUGGGGAUGGACUCGCGGCUUAUCAGCUUGUUGGUGGGGUAGUGGCUUACCAAGGCUUUGACGGGUAGCCGGCCUGAGAGGGUGACCGGCCACAUUGGGACUGAGAUACGGCCCAGACUCCUACGGGAGGCAGCAGUGGGGAAUAUUGCACAAUGGGAGGAAGCCUGAUGAAGCAACGCCGCGUGCGGGAUGACGGCCUUCGGGUUGUAAAACGCUUUCGCCUGUGACGAAGCGUGAGUGACGGUAAUGGGUAAAGAAGCACCGGCUAACUACGUG